Long non-coding RNA from Aquila chrysaetos chrysaetos, 143 nucleotides. RefSeq lists it as uncharacterized. The transcript has 3 exons. Lineage: Eukaryota; Metazoa; Chordata; Aves; Accipitriformes; Accipitridae. The record is from RefSeq and is a predicted model, not a curated record.
CAGGUUGGACGGGGCUGUGAGCAACCUGAGCUAGUUGAAGAUAUCCCUGCUCGUGGCAGGGGGUUUGGACUAGAUGACCUUCAAAUGUCCCUUGCAACCCAAACCAUUCUAUGAUUCUGUGAUUCUAGAGGUAUGUCAGGGUG